AGAGUUUGAUCAUGGCUCAGGAUGAACGCUGGCGGUAUGCCUAACACAUGCAAGUCGUACGAGAGUUUUUAACUCUAGUGGCGGACGGGUGAGUAACACGUAAGAAUUUACCUUCAGGAGGGGGAUAACAAUUGGAAACAAAUGCUAAUACCCCAUAUGCUUUCGAGUGAAAUGGAUUUAUAUUUAUCCGCCUAAAGAGAAGCUUGCGUCUGAUUAGCUUGUUGGUAAGGUAAAAGCUUACCAAGGCGACGAUCAGUAUCUGGUUUGAGAGGACGAUCAGACACACUGGAACUGAGACACGGUCCAGACUCCUACGGGAGGCAGCAGUGGGGAAUUUUCCGCAAUGGGCGAAAGCCUGACGGAGCAAUACCGCGUGAGGGAAGACUGCCUAUGGGUUGGAAAC
Molecule: ribosomal RNA, 403 nt
Filed under: uncultured bacterium
Lineage: Bacteria
Description: bacterial SSU rRNA
Rfam family: Bacterial small subunit ribosomal RNA
Source: RNAcentral